AAAGCUCUGUUGUUAGGGAAGAACAAGUAUCGGAGUAACUGCCGGUACCUUGACGGUACCUAACCAGAAAGCCACGGCUAACUACGUGCCAGCAGCCGCGGUAAUACGUAGGUGGCAAGCGUUGUCCGGAAUUAUUGGGCGUAAAGCGCGCGCAGGUGGUUCUUUAAGUCUGAUGUGAAAGCCCACGGCUCAACCGUGGAGGGUCAUUGGAAACUGGGGAACUUGAGUGCAGAAGAGGAAAGUGGAAUUCCACGUGUAGCGGUGAAAUGCGUAGAGAUGUGGAGGAACACCAGUGGCGAAGGCGACUUUCUGGUCUGUAACUGACACUGAGGCGCGAAAGCGUGGGGAGCGAACAGGAUUAGAUACCCUGGUAGUCCACGCCGUAAACGAUGAGUGCUAAGUGUUAGAGGGUUUCCGCCCUUUGGUGCUGCAGCAAACGCAUUAAGCACUCCGCCUGGGGAGUACGGCCGCAAGGCUGAAACUCAAAGGAAUUGACGGGGGCCCGCACAAGCGGUGGAGCAUGUGGUUUAAUUCGAAGCAACGCGAAGAACCUUACCAGGUCUUGACAUCCUCUGACACCUCUGGAGACAGAGCGUUCCCCUUCGGGGGACAGAGUGACA
Molecule: ribosomal RNA, 620 nt
Filed under: uncultured Bacillus sp.
Lineage: Bacteria; Bacillati; Bacillota; Bacilli; Caryophanales; Bacillaceae
Description: bacterial SSU rRNA
Rfam family: Bacterial small subunit ribosomal RNA
Source: RNAcentral